UCUGCAGUCAGCUCCUGCCCUGCUGUGCUGCCGGUCGCCCCAAGGCUGAAAGACAGAGGACCCAUUGUUUAUGGACUGGAACUCCAAAACUGGGCUCCACCAUUGGAAGUGAAAUGAUGAAGAAGUUUAAUAGCCCUUGGGUGAAGAAGUGCAUCUUAGAAGCCCCUGUGUUUCUCUUCCUCAGCUAACAAACUAAUAGCAGAAGAACAAAGGCCAUAAAUAGUGCUGGUGUAACUCCCCCAGGGAGAGGGACUUGGUACUUCCGGAGAAGAUGCAGGUCAAUAAAAGAGGAUCGAACUCGGGACCUUGCACUUGCAAAGCAUGUGACAGAACCACUGGGCUACGUCCCCAGCCCCGAUGUUGGAAUCUUAAAGCUCAGCCUUGCGCCCGAAGGUGACAAGUCACAGCUGGUCCCUCAAGAAGCAGGGAAGGAAGACAGGUGACA
Molecule: long non-coding RNA, 445 nt
Organism: Heterocephalus glaber (naked mole-rat)
Lineage: Eukaryota; Metazoa; Chordata; Mammalia; Rodentia; Bathyergidae
Source: RefSeq, a predicted model, not a curated record